GAACAGCAACUUGAAGGAAUGAAAGGCAAUAGCCGAUUGCAUUAAAUUUUUAAUGUAGUUACUACUAGGUAGUUUAAAUUUCUAGGUAGAAUUAUGAUGAUGACAUUAUCUAUCUAUAGGUCUUGACCAAAUUACGUGCCAGCAGUCGCGGUAAUACGUAGAAGACGAGUGUUAUUCAUCUUUAUUGGGUUUAAAGAGUACCAAGACGGUUAAUAAAGCCCAGAAAUACAUGAGCACAGGGGACACAUUAACUAGAGUUAUAUGAAAGGAAGCAUUAAAGUACUGCUGAGUGUAGAGAUAAAAUUCGUUAAUACCUUUAAAGGCACAGAUUUAUGCGAAGGCAUCUUCUUAUGUAAUAACUGACGUUGUAGGACGAAGGCUUUUGGAGUGAAGAGGAUUAGAGACCCUUGUAAUCUAAGCAGAAAACGAUGAAUGUCAUAGGUUUAGUAUAUACACCAAAAAAAAAAUGGUCGAUGUAUUAUUGGGUCUAUAAAUGAAAGUGUAAGCAUUCCACCUCAAGAGUAAUUUGGCAACAUUGGAACUGAAAUCAUUAGACCGUUUCUGAAACCAGUAGUGAAGUAUGUUGUUUAAUUAGAUGAUACACAAAGAACCUUACCACAAUUUGAAUAUAUAUCAUUAAUGAUAUUUACAAGCGUUGCACGGCUGUCUUCAGUUAAUGUCGUGAGGCUAUGGUUAGUUCCAUAAAAUUAACGUAAACCCUCGUUUUAUUUAUAAAUAAAAUUUACAAUCUGCUUCGUAUUAAUUUGAUAUUAGAAAAGGGACUAAGACAAGUCAUCAUGC
Molecule: ribosomal RNA, 801 nt
Filed under: Lobaria retigera
Lineage: Eukaryota; Fungi; Ascomycota; Lecanoromycetes; Peltigerales; Lobariaceae
Description: SSU rRNA
Rfam family: Bacterial small subunit ribosomal RNA
Source: RNAcentral